Molecule: ribosomal RNA, 465 nt
Filed under: uncultured bacterium
Lineage: Bacteria
Description: partial 16S ribosomal RNA
Rfam family: Bacterial small subunit ribosomal RNA
Source: RNAcentral
GACGAACGCUGGCAGCGUGCUUAACACAUGCAAGUCGAACGGAAAGGCCCCUUUGGGGGUACUCGAGUGGCGAACGGGUGAGUAACACGUGAGUAACCUGCCCUUGACUUCGGGAUAACUUCAGGAAACUGGGGCUAAUACCGGAUAGGAAUCCUUGCUGCAUGGUGGGGGUUGGAAAGCUUCGGCGGUUUUGGAUGGACUCGCGGCUUAUCAGCUUGUUGGUGGGGUAGUGGCUUACCAAGGCUUUGACGGGUAGCCGGCCUGAGAGGGCGACCGGCCACAUUGGGACUGAGAUACGGCCCAGACUCCUACGGGAGGCAGCGGUGGGGAAUAUUGCACAAUGGGCGGAAGCCUGAUGCAGCAACGCCGCGUGCGGGAUGACGGCCUUCGGGUUGUAAACCGCUUUCAGCAGGGGCGAAGCUUGUGGUGACGGUACCUGCAGAAGAAGCACCGGCUAACUACGUG